AUGAUCCAAAUAUCGCCUUCCUGCCGACAAACCUCCCCGGCCCCCCAAACCCCCAACCGCUCCAAUCCGGACUCACCCCCGCCUCUCGAACUCGAAACCCCGAUCACCUCCGAAGCAUCCUCCGCUCUGCGCUUCCUCAUCCAUGGAGUCCCGGGCCUAAACCAUCCCCGGAUGGGUCUCGCCGACGCGGCGCGCUCGCGGCUGCUGGCCGCGCUCCGGCCGUGGCUGGCGGCUGACCCGGGGGAGCUGCGGGUGGAGCUAGGCCCGCUCCGCUCCCGCGCCGUCGCGCGUGGGCUCGAGCUCGGCGCCGCGGUGCUCUCCGCGCCGGACUCCUUCCCCGCCAGGGUCGACCGCGCGGCCGUCGCCGAGGUCGAGCUCGCCGUCUCGCCCUGGGGCGCCCCCGCGCUGGCCGCAGUCCUGCGCGGCGUCGACGUCUCGCUCACCCUCAGGGAGCCUGCGCCGCGGAAGCAGCGGCCAGACAUCCAGGAAUGGGUAUCCAAGGAGAAGAAGAGAGUGAUUGCAUCAAUGGACCCUCAGGGUGAAAUAUUGCAUGAGAUGAUUGAAGGUUUAGUUAGCUCCCUGGAAGAUAAGUUUACCUCGGGAUUUGCCAGUGUACUUCUAAACUGUAGUCAGGUGCGGGUUGAUGAUAUCACAAUACAAGUUCGGUAUCUUGAUGACUCCCAUAUUUUGGUAUUGAGGGCAACUGACUUACAGUUAGGUCCUGAGCUUGUUUCUCGCUGUUCUCUGUUCAGAGGAUUAGUUGGCUCUUCUAUAUCAUCAAUAAAGAAGAAUCACCUUCUUGUUAAAUGUAAUGAUUUUGAGUUUGUGAUGAAGGAGAAUGAUUGUACAGAUUGCACUGCAUCUUUUACAGGCUUAUCUGCUUGUGCUAGACUGGAUAAUCUCCAACUUGCUGCUUUUAGCAUCCAUGUUCCCAGUGCAUGCUGCAAAAUUUCACCAAAAGCUAUUCCUUCGUUGAUGGUGAUUUUGGAUAUUACUAGUCAAAAGGAACACUACAGGACUAGGAGUGGUAGGGAGCUCUGGCAAAUUGCUAUGCAAAAGCUUGAAAGCCCAAUAGUAGGCCGCAGAUUUUCUUUAAGCAAGGCCUUAAGCUGUGCUACUUUCUGGCAGCACUAUGUUCAUGCUUAUGUGUUGCUGUUAUCAUUAGUUGGAUAUCCCUCUGACAUGGUUAUAAAGAAGAAUUGUGGUAGGGUGUCAAGGAACAGGAAAAUGUUGGGAGCUAUCAGAGAUCAUUGGGUAAAUGUUCUUGAGCUGGAGGAGAAAGUUCCUGUAGAAGCUAUUGCUAGAGCACGACGUGCUGCCCGUUCAAAACUUGCCAUAUCACAGCAACAGAACAAGCAAGAAUCAUCAAAAACGCUUCUGGUUUCUUCCAUAAUGAAAAUUCUCUCUCCUUUUUUAUAUUUGUGGAGGUUUGUUGUAUUCGUAUUCUGGUCAGUGUGGAGAGCUAGGGAUUCUGGAAACAAAACAUGUAGAUCCCGUGCACACAUUUUUCCUGGUUUUUCUCAUGAUUCAGACAUGGAGUUUCAGCUCGGAAUUCACCUUGGGGAACUCUCUGUAAUCCUGUUACCUUUUGCUGAUCACUCCAUCGGCAUGAAAAAGUUAAACAAUGGAAGCAAGAGUUAUCACACCGAUUUACCUUCGAUAGAUUUGGUAAUAAAAUCAUCAUGCUUACUUUACUCAGCUGGUUGCAUCACACAAUCGCUGUUUUUCGUAGCUGGAGAACUGAAGGUUUUUCUCUCCGGUGUCCCAAAGUUGUCACGAGCGGAUAAUAGCAACACACUUGGGAGGAAUUCAUCUUUUAAAACUGCAGAGUUUUCCGAAGACACUGAUUCAAAGAUGAUCUUCUGGAGCGAUUCUGCCAGUAUGCACCCAUUUUCCGAAAAACAAUCUGAUGAAUUUCCCCAGAGUGAUGGUUCGUCCACUGCUGUUCUACAAAGUGGUAUGGAGAAACUAUGGAGGGAAUGGAUGUUAAUCAGCAAUUUAUACAAUGAAUCUGGUGUGAUACAUCAUGAAAAGCCUUCUGUUAUUUUUGAAGUCAAAUCAUAUGUUGUUGAUCCUUACCAAAAUAUAAGUGGGUUUCAGCAAUGCAGAUUUACAGUCGGUAAACUAAACCUUGAUUUGGAUUAUCAGUGUGCUUCAUCGACCUAUAUGCUGCACAGACAGUUCAUGCAUUACAAACAUCUGAAAGAGCUAAACAGAAAUAUGCCAGACCUUCUGAUUCCUGGUGCCUUUAUAACACCUGCAAGUGGAGUUCUUGAUAAACUGAGAUCAUUCACUCAGAUAAUGAAUAUUGUGAUGUCAGAUGCUAUUCCAGAAAAUACCCUCCAGAUUGAAGCACUGAUUGCUGGUCCCAGUAUCCGGUUAUCCUUUGAUAAGAACAAUUUGUUGCAAAAUUGCAAAAAUAAGUAUGUGCCCCUAUUUUCUCGGAUGAAUAGCAGGACGUCCUGCAUAGUUCUCAGUCUGGCAUAUGUUGAAUGUGCCAUGUGGCCAGCAUCCCUAUCUACUCCAGCGAGAUCUAAUUCACAUGACAAAGAAUCACAUAGUACAUUCUGCAUGAAGGAGGUGCAAGAACCUGCUUAUCCUGCAACGAAAAGUAGUGCAAGACAUGUUUAUCCAGAGAAUAUUAUGUUAGAUGCUUGCUUCAAAUUGGCUAAUCUAACUCUUCUGAUAGAUAAUUUAGAGACCAAUCAUCAGUGUCAUGUAUUUGGACCAAUGUCGGCCAAUUUCCAACUGUCAUCAGGCAGGAAGUAUGUGCAUUCCUUCUUCGCAGACAGAAACGUUCUGUCAAUGAACUUAGGAGGAGGAACUGUUGGUUGCAUAGCUUUGUUCUACAUGGAUGAAUUGUUUACUGUUUGCCAGCUUAUUGAAAGUAUGCAUCUGGUGGCAUUGAAUUCUGACUUGGUUAAUGUUAAGUAUUCCCAAGAUUUUAUUGGAAGGCUAGCAUCGUUCUGCAAUAAAAAUGUGGUGGGGAGCACAAGAGAUCUUGGCAUUGAUCGUAUUGCCCAGGAAGAAUCAAUUGACUCUCAUACAGAACUCAUGGUUGAAGUGGAACUUGAAUUGGAAUCAACAUACAUCAUCUUUAGUACUUCACGUGGUGGACUUUUUCCGAAUCCUGCCGUCUUUGUCAACAACACCAUAAACUACAUCAGCAGCUCUCCUAUAUUUGAGGGGAUAACAACACAGGAAUUGCAUGAUAUGUUAGCUUUGGGUGUUGGGUUCUGCAUCAGAAGUUCUUCUUUGAAACUUCUGCUUGGUGGACAAUGUACAGACAUCCUUGUUAGUUUAUCCGGAAUUCAGUCUGUGGUAUUCGAGAACCAAGUUGAACACACAACUAUGCUUAGUAGUUUACCAUAUAACAAGAACCAGUUCAUUAUAACAGAAUGCACCUUCCAUCUGCGUGCUGGGCCCACUAAAGAUAGCUUGACCAUUGAGAAAAUGGAAGACGAAUCUAGAAGUGGUCGCGUUUCUGAUUCUUUGGGAAUUUGCUAUUCUAUUGAAAUUGAAUUUACAGAGAUUUAUAUUGGAGACUACAGGGUUCACAACUAUUUAACUGAAGUCAAUCAACCCAGUAGACAGAAAAUUUCUCUGUUGAUGGACGAUAAUCUUCAGAUUUUCAAAUGCAAAAUCCAGGGUGGCUUGAUCUUUCUUGAAACAAUUUUCUUAGCUAAGCUUGUUUUCUGUUGCAAAAUUUAUUUUUGGCUGCUUAUGGAUCUCCCAGUGCGGGCAACUUCAAAUAUAGCCAAAGAUUCAGUAACUUCAGUCUCUACAAAAAGUGACCCUAAUGUGAUCAACAGUUAUACACAGGGGGAAGUAUCAUCGGUGUCUUUAGGUGUUCAUUCACAAAGUGAGGAAUCCCAUUUGAAUGCUAUCAAAUGUCUAGAUAUUGAUUUAUCUCGGAUUUCUAUAACACUUGCUGUUGCGGAUGAAUCUGGUACAUACCAGGGAUUAACCCUCGAAGUUGACGCAAGUUUUCAACUAUUGAAAUUUGGCAUGAAGAUUUUGUUUGAGGUGAAGUGUCUUUCAGUCUCCACUAUUAGUAGUAUGCCCAAGAGUGCCCAUGAACAGUUGAGAGAUGUGCCAGCACCCCGUUUUCGGUCCAGAAAGUCUACUGUUCUUACAUCUCAGUCUGAAAUUCAAGAAUAUCUUCCAUUUAUAGAAGCAGAUAAUGGUGUUACCCAUGAUCGUGAUGCUCCUGCAAGUUCAACUUCUACAUUAGAAAGUUCAACAGGCAAUACAAUUGAAUUUUCUUCACAUAAGAGUUAUAUCCUCAGCCAUUUCUCUACUUCUCUUAAGAUAGAGAAAAAACAAUUGGAUAGAGAUUCUAAUUUGAUGUGUUUAAGUGGUGAUUGGUGUGGAAACGGUUUUGUUUCUGGUUUGGAGGUGACAAUGUCAUUAUCAAGCAUUGAGAUGAUCUCGUCAUUACUUGCUCCUUUUCAUGGAAUGCUGAGUUCUACUGCAACUCAGAAGGAAAUACAGAUUGGUGACACCACUCAGCAAGAACAGCUGGAUAAUAUAGAUUGUACUAUACCUGAUGGAGCAAUUGUGGCUAUACGAGAUCUUGAUCAACAGGUGUAUGUAUCAGUCAAAAAUAUUGGAAUGAAGUAUCAAGUGGUCGGUGCAUACCAUUAUUCCCUUGCUGGUGAACAUGCAUUAUUUAAGGUGAAACACCAUAAGAGAUGGAGGUCAGACACACCAUAUAUUUCUCUUUUAUCUUUAUGUGCAAAAACUGAUGAAGGCAAAGAGCUGGCCCUUAGUUUCUCCCAAGGAUCAGAUUUGGUUGAAAUUUCUUCAUUUGUUGACAAGCCUUGUUCACUGUGGAGCAUGUUUCCUCUUGGGUUUGAUAGUUUUGAGGAUGACGAAGAUGAUGGUAAUUCUUGCAAGGUUAUUUCAAGUAGUUCUUACCAUCUUGUGAACAAGAAAAACAAUUAUGGCAUUGCAUUUGUGGAUGGUCUACUGGAGUUUGUGAAAAAGCCAGGAAAUCCAUUUAAGUUGAAGAUUUUGAAUGAAUCUCUAUUCUCUGAUGUUGCAAGGCUCAUUGUUCCCAAUAUGAACUUGGAUGGUAACUCUUAUUUGGAUGUGGAAGAUGAAUUACCUUCUGCUGUAAUGGAUAGGUUGGAAACUGUUGCAAGUUCACAACAUAUAACCAUCAGUAUUGAUAAGAUUGUUUUUACCAUUACGCAUGAAGUGUUUGAUACUGGUGAUGUUUUUCCACUUGUCCAAAACUGCAUAAAUGAUAUCCGUGUUGUCACACAAAUAUACCCAUCCAAGAUCAGGAUCCUAAGUUCAUUCAAAGUUUCAGGGCAGUACUUCGAUGCCCGCAAAAAUAUGUGGGAGGACCUUAUCUCACCUAUCACUUCCUAUGUGUUCUUACGAUUUAGAUUUUUCAACCAAAAUCCAGUUACUAGACGUAGCGGGGCCCCACUGCGUUUCUUCUUUCAUUUAAAGCAGGUGGAUAUUUUCAUAAAUGAGCUUUCAGUUGACAUGCUGCUUUAUUUGGUCGGGAAGUUAGGCUUGAUGGGUCCAUAUGCUGUGAGAAACUCAGCUAUUUUUCCUAACUGCUGCAAGAUAGAGAAUAACUCAAGGCUGGCACUUGUAUGUCAUUUUCAAAAUAAUGGGGAUGCAAUUGUUCCUGGACAACAGUCAACUUCAGUCUUCUUGAGGAAUUUUAUAUUUAAUGAUAAUCGCCCACAUGAUCAGAGCUUAGUUUCUAUUUCGUUAUUCAAGGAAGGGGCAUUUUCAACUGCUCCAAUCAAUAUUCCUCUCCAUGAGUCUGGCAUCUUUGCAUGGAGAACCCUAGCAUCGUCUCUCAAAGAUUCAAGACGCUUCUCUGGACCAUUUGUUGUGGUCAAGGUGUCCCAGAAUUCUGUGGAAGGUUUAUCGCUUUCAGUCCAACCUUUGUUGAGGAUAUAUAAUAAGAGUGACUUUCCCCUCGAACUUCGGUUUCAGAGGCCACAAAAUGAGAAUGAAGAUGCAGCACUUGUCACAGUUCGAAGCGGUGACAUGGUUGAUGAAUCUACUGGAGUACUUGACGCUAUGAAUUUAUCUGGAGGAUCCAAAAAAGUGCUGAUGUCUCUAGCCCUUGGAAAUUUUAUGCUUUCAAUUAGACCUGAGAUGUCCGAACACUCAAAUCUGAAUCAUGCAACUUUAUUCCAAUGGUCAGAAGACAUAACCGGUGAAAAAGCAGUUCGCAUAUCUGGUGUUAUAGAAAAACUUAAUUACAACAUAAGAAAAGCCUUCAGUAUUGAUUCCAUGAAGUCUUCUUUCAGCUCUUUGAGUUGCCCUGUUUCCAUUGAUGGUCAACAUGUGACGGAUCUUUAUUUUUUGAUUCAUACUCUGGGUAGAGAUGUGCCUUUGCAGCCUACAAAUGGUACUCGUGUGUCUGGCAGGAGUGCAUCAGUGGCAUUACAGCUGCAAAGAGAAAUUUUUAUAUACCCGACUGUUCAAGUGUACAAUUUCUUGCAGACAGACAUACAUGUGCUUCUGACCGACUCCAAACCGGAGAAUACCAGAGACGAUAAUUUUGGCCUCAUUGGAAAGGAGGCAACAAUUACAAGUGGUUCAAGCGCUUAUUUCUAUGUGAAUCCUGCCAUGUUUAAUUUUUCAGUCACACUAAUUUCAUAUGGUUCAAAGUCCAAGGCAGCUAAUAGUGGUGAUUGGGCCAAGAGAAUGCAAAAGCAGACAGCUCGAGCUCAAUUCCUUGAUCUAGAAUUAGAGUUUUUUCCUGGGAAGUUUCAUUCUUCUUUAAGAUUGUUGCGUCAGGAGAAAGGCUUGCUGGAGGUUGCUCUUUUCACAAGAUAUACACUACAAAAUACAAGUGACUACCCCUUGCUGUGCACACCUUCUGGUCAAAAACCACUACCCGCGUUUGAAAUUGGAAAAGACAAUAUUAAUCUUCCUCCACAGAAUGGUUGUAUUUUGCCCUCAAUGUCAAUGAGCUCCUGGUUUACAAAGUCAAAUAAACUGCAAAUAAGCCUGCAUGACGAGAAAGGAUCAGAAGCAUUUAUUGAUUUAGAAGCAUUAUCUGGUUUCACUGAAUUUUUUCUUGAGAUCCAUGAUGAUAUAUUUCCCCAUCGGAUGGCAGCUUUCGGCAUGUCUUUACAACCUGUUAUUUAUGGCUUGCAUGUGUCAUCACAAGUUGUAUUAAUCGUACCAAGAUAUGUGAUCUCAAAUGAGUCUGCUACUGCAGUUGCUGUUCGCCAAUGUCUUGUUCAGGAUGACAUAGAUGGAUUGACAAUUGAAGCUAAACAGAGGGCUACCUUACAGACAUGGAAACCUGGAAAAAAGCGAGAAGGAAACUACUUUGAUUUGUUUCUUAAGAAGCACAAAAAUGUAUCCGAGGAUUCACUCAUUUUUAUCCAGUUUUGUCCAAAAGAAACAGGAUAUGGUUGGUCUGGACCAAUUUGUGUUUCAUCAAUCGGCCGUUUUUUCAUGAAGUUUAGAAGAUCAGAAGAUAUGGUAAUAGAUGGGAUUAACAAAGACACUUUACAAGACGGGAAGCUGAAACAGUUUGCUUCUGUUGAUGUUGUUCAAGAGAAUACAUCUUUUGUUCUACACUUCACCAAGCCACCAAAGGUUGCACUACCAUAUCGGGUAGAGAAUUGCUUGAAUAAAGCAUCUGUCAUGUAUUUCCAGAAGGAUUCAGAAGAAUCAGAUAUGUUAGGCCCUCAAGAAUCAGAACAGUAUGCAUGGGAUGACUCGAGUUUACCCCGGAAGUUGGUUGUGCGCAUUGUUGAUACACCAGCACUCCGUGAAAUUAAAAUUGAUAAGAUCGGUCCAUGGAAGCCAUUCUUGAAGAUGCGAAGCAGGCUCAAUCUGGAUUUCUCGUUUAGUAAUGGACUCAGUUCAGAAAAACAAGGAUUUGAUGAUUCAUUUGGACUGAGGGUGUUUAAGAUUGGCUAUGAAGUAUAUGCCGAUGGAUUAACCAGAGUUCUACGGAUAUGUGAACAGGCAGAGAAUCCCAAAGUUGAGAAAAUUCAACGGCCUAUAGCACAUGCACAGUUCAGAAUAUCUUAUAUGUGUAUUCAUCUUCUUGAUAAGGGGCAGAGCGACGAAAUGCUUCAGUCACCCUCUACAAUCUUAAUGGCAACAUUUCAGCGUGUAUCUGCUGAUUCAGUUAUCACAGAUAGACACAAGAAUAUGGAUGUUGCAGUUUAUUCAGUAAAUGUGGAUGAAAAGUGGGAUGGAGCUUCCUUUGGAUCAGUUUUCAGGAUGAACAAGCUUCAGGGUGAUGCUCUCAAUGAAAAUAUUCUUCGUAUAGUUUGUGUACUCAAUUCAUCGAAUUCCAGUGUCAAACAAGUCCACUACUGUUCCAUAAUUCUGCAGCCGAUUGAUCUGAAGGUUGAUGAGGAAACGUUAAUGAAGCUUGUACCAUUCUGGAGAACAUCCCUUGCUCCUGCUGGUACACCGAGCACACAAUUUUAUUUUAGACAAUUCGAAGUACAUCCAAUUAAGAUCAUCGCAAGCUUUCGUCCUGGAAGAUCACAGACAUCUUACAGCUCUUCUCAAGAGGCUCUGAGAGCGCUAUUGCACAGUGUUAUAAAGGUUCCCGAGAUAAGUAAUUCAGCGGUGGAGCUCAAUGGUGUUCUCCUAAAUCAUGCUUUGGUUACAUUUCGUGAGCUAUUUUUAAAAUGCGCCCAGCAUUAUUCAUGGUAUGUCCUCAGGGCAAUCUAUGUAACAAAGGGAAGCUCGUUGCUUCCUCCAUCUUUCGCCUCGAUGUUUGACGACUCGGCUUCAUCUGUUCUUGAUGUUUUCUUUGACCCUUCUGACGGCUCACUCAACCUCCCUGGGCUUACCAUAGGCAUGUUUAAGUUUAUAAGCAAAAAUAUGAAAUCAGGUGGAACAAAGCGGUACCUUGGUGAUCUUGGGAAAACUGUUAAAACUGCAAGUUCAAAUGCUCUCUUUGCUGCUAUCACGGAAGUUUCAGAUAGCGUUGUGAAAGGAGCAGAAACAAAUGGUUUAAAUGGAAUGGUUACCGGCUUCCACAGAGGUAUGUUGAGGUUGGCAAUGGAGCCAUCUGUGUUAGGGCAGGCUAUAAUGGAGGGUGGUCCAGACAGAAAGAUCAAACUUGAUCAUAUCCCCGGACUUGAUGAGCUAUACAUUGAAGGGUACCUGCAAGCCAUGCUGGAUGUCAUGUAUAAACAAGAGUACCUUCGUGUGAGGGUGAUUGAUGACCUGGUUUUCCUAAAAAAUCUACCACCGAACAGCGCUCUCAUAAAUGAAAUUGUGGAAAACGUGAAGGGCUUUCUCGUGAGCAAGGCAUUGUUGAAAGGAGACGCCUCUACGGUUCGGUCUUGGCGCCGCCUGCGAAAUGAGCCUGAGUGGAAGAUUGCGCCGACGGUGCUCACCCUGUGCGAGCACCUGUUUGUGAGCUUCGCGGUGCGCCUGCUGCACCAGGAGGCCACCAAGGCCGUAGCGGAGGUCACGACCAAAGUGAAGGGACAACUCACUGGAGGCAAAGACGAAGGCGAAUCGUCGUCCGGCGGAGGAACCCUGGCUAAGCGGAGCAGGCUGUGGACGGUUGGCAGGUUCGCGGCUUCAGGCGUCGUCGCCUACGUGGACGGUCGGCUGUGCCGCCACAUACCCAACCCAAUCGCCAGGAGAAUCGUGAGCGGGUUCCUCCUGAGCUUCAUCGACAGAAGGGACGACGAAUAG
This 9669-nucleotide ribosomal RNA is filed under the name Triticum aestivum (bread wheat). RNAcentral describes it as "partial small subunit ribosomal RNA". Lineage: Eukaryota; Viridiplantae; Streptophyta; Magnoliopsida; Poales; Poaceae. The record is from RNAcentral.